Molecule: ribosomal RNA, 468 nt
Filed under: uncultured bacterium
Lineage: Bacteria
Description: partial 16S ribosomal RNA
Rfam family: Bacterial small subunit ribosomal RNA
Source: RNAcentral
GACGAACGCUGGCGGCGUGCUUAACACAUGCAAGUCGAACGGACAGGCCCUGCUUUUGUGGGGUGCUCGAGUGGCGAACGGGUGAGUAACACGUGAGUAACCUGCCCUUGACUUUGGGAUAACUUCAGGAAACUGGGGCUAAUACCGGAUAGGAGCUCCUGCUGCAUGGUUGGGGUUGGAAAGUUUCGGCGGUUGGGGAUGGACUCGCGGCUUAUCAGCUUGUUGGUGGGGUAGUGGCUUACCAAGGCUUUGACGGGUAGCCGGCCUGAGAGGGUGACCGGCCACAUUGGGACUGAGAUACGGCCCAGACUCCUACGGGAGGCAGCAGUGGGGAAUAUUGCACAAUGGGCGGAAGCCUGAUGCAGCAACGCCGCGUGCGGGAUGACGGCCUUCGGGUUGUAAACCGCUUUCGCCUGUGACGAAGCGUGAGUGACGGUAAUGGGUAAAGAAGCACCGGCUAACUACGUG